GUCGUCGUCCGAUUACCUUGUUGGUUCCUAGUGAGUCUGCAUCAAGGUUGCAUCGAGAUCCUGAAGUUCCUGGGGUCUUACGGAGAGUUGAGCAAUAUAACCGCCAUUUUGGUCGACAUGCCAAUGGCCUUCUCCAGAGAAUGCAAGAUCUUCCGUUUCUCCUCCGAAGAUUACUGCGAGAUAUGACAGAUCCUCAAAGAUCUCUUCCGUUUGUCAUCAGGGCGCGUGUCUAUUUGGCAAUGUUUUUAAGUGGUAUAUACAUCCUUAGCCCCGUGGACCUUAUCCCUGAAGGUUUUUUGGGUAUAAUAGGUUUACUAGAUGAUCUGAUUAUCAUGUUCAUCUGUUUCCUUCAUGUUGCUGCUCUGUAUAGAUCAGUUCUUCUGUUUCGG
This 389-nucleotide unclassified non-coding RNA is filed under the name Hevea brasiliensis (rubber tree). Lineage: Eukaryota; Viridiplantae; Streptophyta; Magnoliopsida; Malpighiales; Euphorbiaceae. The record is from RNAcentral.